This 431-nucleotide long non-coding RNA is filed under the name Hordeum vulgare. RNAcentral describes it as "long non-coding RNA (HVUL_LNC014547)". Lineage: Eukaryota; Viridiplantae; Streptophyta; Magnoliopsida; Poales; Poaceae. The record is from RNAcentral.
CCUACAAAUCAUCAUAUUUUGUACCUAAACAUAUCAAAAUCAAUAGAUCUUUAUCACUGUACAUAAUUAUGCAAGACAGUGACUUCACUCCAACCAUUAAAUUGUAGAGAGCAAAUUGUACGGGAGGAGUUUUGCUUUAGCGAGAUUCAAACGGCCAACGUGCAUGCAUUGGAAUAACUAAAUGCAGCAAGCAACGCGGGCCAUGCCAAAAAAGGGACCGCAUGCUUAACGAGGAUGGCUUAAUUGACAUACACGUCUAAAACUUUUGGAAAAUCUAGAUUCUCUUAGGCGCUCUACACAGCUGGACGGAGGUAGUGCGUAUUGCAUAUCACAAUCAAUGGAUCUUUAUCAGUCUAUCUAAUUGUACCAGUCAAUUAUUGUCGUCGUAACCUUAAAUUUUAACAACAACACUCAUCGGUACUCUUCCAAUU